This 390-nucleotide ribosomal RNA is filed under the name Triticum aestivum (bread wheat). RNAcentral describes it as "partial small subunit ribosomal RNA". Lineage: Eukaryota; Viridiplantae; Streptophyta; Magnoliopsida; Poales; Poaceae. The record is from RNAcentral.
AUGCCGCCCGCCACCACCUCCUUCGCUGCGCCGCAUGCCACCUCCCUGCCCACCUUCUCCGGCGCAGCGCACCCUACCUUGCGUACCAUCUCAGGCGGCACCGCCCACCACCACCUCCGACUGCGUCCCAUGGCACAACCCCAGGGACGGAUCCGACUGCAGUCAUGGCGGGAUCUAACCGCCCCCCUACACAUCCCCAGGGACGGAUCCGGGCGGUUCCGGUCCGCCACGCCGCCAGGCGACAAGAUCGAGGAGCAAACCUUCACCUCCCUCUCCCGUCCCCAUCCAGGAUCCCUCCUCUCACGCCGCCUCUGGAUGCGAGCCACCGCCACCAACGGACAGCCCGCCCUACUGCCUUCACCCCCAUGGCCUCGCCGCCGUCACCCCUAG